This 609-nucleotide ribosomal RNA is filed under the name uncultured bacterium. RNAcentral's name for it is "bacterial SSU rRNA". It matches the Rfam family "Bacterial small subunit ribosomal RNA", at positions 34 to 626 of the family's 1533-position model. The record is from RNAcentral.
CGCUGGCGGCGUGCCUAAUACAUGCAAGUUGAGCGCUGAAGGUUGGUACUUGUACCGACUGGAUGAGCAGCGAACGGGUGAGUAACGCGUGGGGAAUCUGCCUUUGAGCGGGGGACAACAUUUGGAAACGAAUGCUAAUACCGCAUAAAAACUUUAAACACAAGUUUUAAGUUUGAAAGAUGCAAUUGCAUCACUCAAAGAUGAUCCCGCGUUGUAUUAGCUAGUUGGUGAGGUAAAGGCUCACCAAGGCGAUGAUACAUAGCCGACCUGAGAGGGUGAUCGGCCACAUUGGGACUGAGACACGGCCCAAACUCCUACGGGAGGCAGCAGUAGGGAAUCUUCGGCAAUGGACGAAAGUCUGACCGAGCAACGCCGCGUGAGUGAAGAAGGUUUUCGGAUCGUAAAACUCUGUUGGUAGAGAAGAACGUUGGUGAGAGUGGAAAGCUCAUCAAGUGACGGUAACUACCCAGAAAGGGACGGCUAACUACGUGCCAGCAGCCGCGGUAAUACGUAGGUCCCGAGCGUUGUCCGGAUUUAUUGGGCGUAAAGCGAGCGCAGGUGGUUUAUUAAGUCUGGUGUAAAAGGCAGUGGCUCAACCAUUGUAUGCAU